CCAACAUCACAGCAAACAAUAUUUCUUGUCGCGCACACCUGUGCGAGUGGUGCCUCUCACGUCUUUUCUCGUGGCCGCACUCAUCAGUGUGACUGGGGCUUUUCUUUCGCUCUCACCUCUCGCGCACGUGAAGGGUCCGUCGCAUCUUUUCUCUGCCGCUUGGCGCAUCGGCGCGUCCGCUCUUUAUGGUCAUUUUUCGCUCCGGCUUCAGCAUUCGCCCAGCACCCCUCCCUUUAUUACCCGCUGGCCUGUGUGUGCGCUAUGCGAGGCCAUAAAUAUGCACACUGCCGCGCAGUCAGACGUAUUGAUUGCACCUCAUUUACGUGCGCUGUUUUUCUCUGUCUGACCAAGUGCAGGCUCUAGCACAGUGGCGUCGGUUUUCUAUCGCCCCUCUGCCAUUCUGGAACAACCGCAGCAACAAAUUGGAAGGGUCCACCCAGCAAUGUCGCGCCCGACGUGGUCACACGGUGGCCGCAUCCUCUUCAAUGCGUCCCGCGUCUACUAUGUGCCGAAUGAGCCGUGUCUCCCACCGCUUCGGUGGAUGCCGGAGCGGCAGCGGUUUGAGUAUCUGCGCAAGGACAUCGAAGAGGACGUCUCGUUGCGUGCGUCGCUGGCGGAGCUUGCCGAGGCUUGCUCGCAGCUGUACCAGCUACAGCCGCUCCAGCAGCAGUUGCCAGCCGCGUCUCUGAACGGAUACUUGCCGUGCGAGGCGCUCUACGGCGUCCUGCCCCUGGGUGCAGCAAGCAACUCUGCCCUGCUUUACGUCACCGAAAAGGAGUACGUGUGCACGCUGUGCGUGGGGGGCGCGGAGCACGACGUGUUUGCCGUGCGCGGACUGCAGUGGCUCUUUUUGCCGUGCGCCACGUCGGCCUUGUCAGGAAGGCGACAGAGUGUCCGGCCUCAGCAGCAUCACCGCGGCAGCGUGCGAAGUGGAAACCGCAACGAUGGCGAGAUGCCGGAUGGCGCAGAUGAUGACGCUGAAAGCGACAUGUAUGGGCGGCACCCUUGCAACUCCCGCAACGACAACUCCACGAGCGAGACAGAUGAAGAGGAGGAGGACGACGCCGAGAACGGGUCGUCCACGAUGCAGCGCUUGCCCACAAAGACGCUGAACGACUAUCUUGCUGUAUUGAACCGCUUUUGCGAGUCCAUCAACAUCGAGGACGGAGGUCAGCGUGCCCGUGCGGCAGCAGCUGCUGCCGCUUAUCCGCACACCGACGGCGAGGUGGAAGAGAGAUCUUCGCAGCUGCCUGGGAUUGUUGGCCCCGCCAACCGCUUCUCGUACUUGUAUUACUCGCCUACACUGGACCUCAGCGCCGAUCCCGCGCACCUCUUGGCUCUGAUCACUCACAGUGCGCAUCCGCACGUCGAAGAUGGUGCUGCAUCGACUGGCGGUGGUGCUGUGAGUUACACGACAAACGGCUCGCUUUCGUCGAAUACUAAUCGAGAUAGCAGCGGCACGACGACCGAGUUCUCCGAUCAACCACGCCUCUCCACGCGCGGGCGGCACAGCGCGGCGAGCUAUUUGUGGGAGGAGAGGCGUGCGGCCGCCCUCACACGCCAGCUGUACCAGUGGAAUGGACCACUUAUCGGUGACGCCUUUGCCCUGCCGACCCUGGCGGCGCUAAGGGAAGAAGAGGUGCGGGGCCGUGCGGAGUCGAGCAAGAAACCGUCCGCCCUUGAGUCGAGGCGCGAGCCGUGGAGGUUCGUCUGUGCCGAUGAGCUGCUACGUGACGAGCUGGCACAGUACCCAAACCGCGGCGGUCACGGUGGCGGUGCCGUCUCUCUGCCUGCCGGCACGAUGCCCGCCACAUCCUUCUCGUCGUUGCCCCUUUACAUGCCAUCGUACAUUCGUGGCCUUGUCGCCCAGGCAGUGGCGUCCCCGUCCGUGCGCAUGACGCUGGUGACUCGUAUAUGCUGCCGCUGGGCCGGGACGCGGUACAACCGGCGCGGCCUCGAGCCCGGGCACAGCGGCGUCGUAGCGAACAUGGCGAUGACGUCGCUUUGGGUGACGCCGCAAUCAACGACGAGUGCCGCUCCUUCAACGGAAAGGAGCGAAGCCACCUCAGGUGCCAGAAGGUUUGCUGUGUACAGCAUGCUUCGCGGCUCCGUCCCGCGGCGAUGGGAGCAGCCCGCAAACCUCUCGCUGAAGCCAACCAUCAAGAUCGCCCCGGUCGGCAAUGCUGCCGAGGAGCUUGGUCGCCAUGUACGACUUCUGAAGCAGUGCCUGCCGCAGUUGCACGCGCUCUACUGUCUGGACACCAUGUCCACCUCCGAGUUGGAGGAGCCGCUCUCUGAGGCCUUCGCCACCGCUGUCCGUCGCUACAACGAGGACCCGCCGAGCCCCUUCACGGCCGCUAAGGGUGGCACUUAUCUCGCCACGUCAAGUGCAGGAGCGACGGCAGAAGAGAAGGAUGGCGCAGCUGCUGCCGUAACGGCAGGCAAUGGAGAAGAUUGGGCCGGCGCAUCUCACACGCCGGCUCGUGACCCCAUGGUGACACUGGUGAAGUACAACGUGAAGAGGGCUCUGAAAACGCUGUCUUACGCCGCCAUGAUGCGCGAAUGCAUUGCCAAACUGGACCGUGAAUCUGGCGGGGACACGUGGCUGGAUUUCACCAAUGGCGAGGCGCACGCUCCGCGCGCUGGAGAGGACAGGGCCGCCAUGGGAGGAGGGGAGUCGACUUUGCAGAACAGUAGCGGUCUGACAGGCACGGAGGCAGAUGCCAGACACAGGGACGCUGCACCGCGGCUCUCGCUGGCCCAUGUGCAGUCAAGAUUGGUGCGGGUGAACUGCCUAGACUGCCUGGACCGUACCAACCUGGUGCAGAGCUUUCUGUGCUGUGCUGCGCUGCCGCAGAUGAUCGAAUACGUAGAAGGGAGAUCACAAGAGCGGAACCAGCCGUCGGCGUCUGCGGAGCGCCUCUCUCGGAGUGAUGGCGACUUAACACAGGCGUUCAACCGUCUUCGCCUGCUGCUUGUUGCGCAAGGCACGGCCGUCGCGCAGCUCUACGCCGGCACGAAGCCGCAUUUCGUUCCCUACAUGCUUAACGGGCAUUACCAUUGGUCGCAUAAGGCGAGGGAGAGUGUGCUGGCGCUACGCCGGUGGUACCAACAGAACUUCUUUGACGGCGUGAAGCAGGAUGGAGUGUCGCUGGUGACACGGCAGCACGAUCCACAGGUGUUCAAUGCCGAUAUCGAGAGCCCCUUCUCCCGAGAUCUCAGCGGGAUGAAUCACCAGGUACUCUGCGGCGUCCUCCUUGGCGUGAUGCCGUUCUUGUACAGCCUCCUCAUGUGCGUGAGCGAGAGAGGGGGCUUCUCCUCCUUUGUCUUUCAGCUGCACUUUGGCAUUUGCAUGUGCUGGAUUGCCUACUUCUCUGUGCUGUACAACAAGCUCAUGCGGUAUCGCGCCACAUACACGAAUCGCCCGCUGCUGCUAUACACACGCCAGGCAGACUGGUGCUGAAAGACUUACGGCCCCCAUGGGGAGGCAAGGAGUGGCGAAUGUGGUGACGAGGAGGCACAGAGCGCUUUCUGUGUUUGUGUAUUUGCCCUGUGGGCGUUGGCCUUUUGGCGGUCAAGAGAGCAGACGCACGUUCUUGCGCGAGGCGCCGCAUAUCUGUGCAUGUGCUUGUGCAUGCGCCGCUUCUGCGACGGCGACCCUGUGAAACAGAGCGGCGUUUUGUCUGCUUCAUCUGUGUUUUUUUUUCCUCAUAUUAGCUUCUCACUUCCAUUAUCUUUCGACAUUCACGCAGGCCCUUGCGCAGGAUUAGGGGAGUGAGGAGGAGGAGAGGCAGCAGCGGGCCGAGUGGAAUAGCGCAUCUUUAUCGUGUGUCUGUGUGUGGCCUGCGGCUGUUUCUGUGUGCUAUCAAGUGGCGUUGUGCAUGCCGUUUUGCUUUCGCGUGUGUGUGUGUGUGCCUCUGGGCGUGCUUCGCAUAUCCGGACCUUCACGCAGCGUGGAAGAGGCUCCAUGCACCGGUUUGUGGCCGACUUUCACUACCGUUUAUCUGUUUCGCUGAACUGCCUACUCAUCACCCGCGCCUUCUCUUCGCGCUUUCCAUUAACCGGUGAAGACGGUGGCUGGAGGAAGAGAGCCGACGUUGCGCGAGUCGGCACUUCUCCUCACCUAUCUCUCCUCAUUUUUUAUUUCGCCUUCUGGCUGCAUCGGCUUUGCCGCUUCACCGAGGAGUGCACUGUCUUUUCCUACCUGGUCGCAAGAGCAGAAGAAAAU
RNAcentral lists this unclassified non-coding RNA (4228 nucleotides) under Leishmania donovani. RNAcentral's name for it is "gene:LdHU3.35.5690(CDS-product:synaptojanin_(N-in al_domain)_putative)". Lineage: Eukaryota; Euglenozoa; Kinetoplastea; Trypanosomatida; Trypanosomatidae. The record is from RNAcentral.